This 19-nucleotide non-coding RNA is filed under the name Mus musculus (house mouse). The record is from RNAcentral. Lineage: Eukaryota; Metazoa; Chordata; Mammalia; Rodentia; Muridae.
GUCCCUACCUACUAUCCAG